UUCAUUCAGGACUCGGUGCUAGCGAUGCUCCCUCCAUCUCCCUGACAUGCUGUUUGCAAGUACUUUUAUCUGAGGAAAGCAGGCUGGAGAAAGCAUAUGAGCACACGCUCCUGCCACUGGCUGGGCGCCAGCCCGGUACCUCCCCUCCAUCACAUGACCGCGUUUGAUUCAUGGCUCCAGCGUGUGUUUGCGAGCCCCGGGACGCGCUCACCAUCAAGUGUACGUACAGACGGCAAUCUAUGGCUUGCAGGCGUCCCGUGAUGUUCCAAGAUCAAGCUGCAUCUUUAUAAUUAAUCCCUGUGCAACUCUCUAAGUGCUCUCAGGAGACAAUUGAUGCCAGUUGGUCAGAAAAGUCCAGAUUCUGUGUUAUUUGGGCUCUAAAAACCCUUACACCGCCUGUGAGAAUGAAGUAUUGUUUUAUGUUCGGCCAGCUUCCUUUUGUGAGCUCAUCGUUAUCAGCGAGCAACAGAGGCGCCUGUGUUGUGCUGCGCGUGCCUUGCCCUACAAAGGGCUGCCACACAUCACAGGGAAGGGAAAGCUUUUUGGUGCAAGUCUGAAAAAGGCUCUGAACUUUCUCUGCGUUUAACUACACUGAAGUGGGGUUAACGCAGAUUAAUUAAUUCAGCCAUUGAAGAAUUCUAAUUUCAGUUAGUCUUUGCCUGUGUUUUUCUACGUCAUCUCACUAUUCUCAAACUUCUCUGUACCGCACUCUGUAUAUUAUAAAGGUCUUACUUAUUUGUUGCUU
Cygnus atratus (black swan) is the source of this 745-nucleotide long non-coding RNA. RefSeq lists it as uncharacterized. The record is from RefSeq and is a predicted model, not a curated record. The transcript is spliced from 2 exons. Lineage: Eukaryota; Metazoa; Chordata; Aves; Anseriformes; Anatidae.